This 552-nucleotide ribosomal RNA is filed under the name uncultured archaeon. Its description in RNAcentral is "bacterial SSU rRNA". It matches the Rfam family "Archaeal small subunit ribosomal RNA", at positions 325 to 879 of the family's 1478-position model. The record is from RNAcentral.
ACGGGGUGCAGCAGGCGCGAAAACUUUGCAAUAGGCGAAAGCCUGACAGGGCUAUCCCGAGUGCCAUCCGCUGAGGAAGGCUUUUACCCAGUCUAGAACGCUGGGGGAAUAAGGAGAGGGCAAGUCUGGUGUCAGCCGCCGCGGUAAUACCAGCUCUCCGAGCGGUGUGGAUGUUUAUUGGGCCUAAAGCAUCCGUAGCUGGCUAAGUUAGUCCCCUGUUAAAUCCACCGAUUUAAUCGUUGGAGUGCGGGGGAUACUGCUCGGCUAGGGGACGGGAGAGGCAGACGGUAUUUCCGGGGUAGGGGUGAAAUCCUAUAAUCCCGGGAAGACCACCAGUGGCGAAGGCUGUCUGCUAGAACGCGCCCGACGGUGAGGGAUGAAAGCUGGGGGAGCGAACCGGAUUAGAUACCCGGGUAGUCCCAGCUGUAAACGAUGCAGGCUAGGUGUUUGGACGGCCACGUGCCGUUCUAGUGCCGCAGGGAAGCCGUUAAGCCUGCCGCCUGGGGAGUACGGUCGCAAGGCUGAAACUUAAAGGAAUUGGCGGGGGAGCAC